UACGUACUGCGCGAGCGUUAUUCGGAAUCACUGGGCGUAAAGGGUGCGUAGGCGGUUUGAUAAGUCAGGUGUGAAAUCCCACGGCCCAACCGUGGAACUGCACUUGAAACUGUCGAACUUGAGCGAUCUAGGGGUGAGCGGAACUUCCGGUGGAGCGGUGAAAUGUGUUGAGAUCGGAAGGAACACCGAGAGCGAAAGCAGCUCACUGGGGAUAGGCUGACGCUGAGGCACGAAAGCUAGGGGAGCGAACGGG
This 253-nucleotide ribosomal RNA is filed under the name uncultured bacterium. Its description in RNAcentral is "partial 16S ribosomal RNA". It matches the Rfam family "Bacterial small subunit ribosomal RNA", at positions 524 to 776 of the family's 1533-position model. The record is from RNAcentral.